AGAGUUUGAUCCUGGCUCAGGACGAACGCUGGCGGCGUGCCUAACACAUGCAAGUCGAGCGAGUGAAUCUCCUUCGGGAGUGAAGCUAGCGGCGGACGGGUGAGUAACACGUGAGCAACCUGCCUCUAAGAACGGGAUAGCUUCUGGAAACGGAUGGUAAUACCGUAUAAUGUAUUGGGAAGGCAUCUUUCUAAUACCAAAGAUUUAUCGCUUAGAGAUGGGCUCGCGUCUGAUUAGCUAGAUGGUGAGGUAACGGCCCACCAUGGCGACGAUCAGUAGCCGGACUGAGAGGUUGAACGGCCACAUUGGGACUGAGACUCGGCCCAGACUCCUACGGGAGGCAGCAGUGGGGGGUAUUGCACAAUGGGGGAAACCCUGAUGCAGCGAUGCCGCGUGGAGGAAGAAGGUUUUCGGAUUGUAAACUCCUGUCGUAAGGGACGAAGAAGUGACGGUACCUUACAAGAAAGCUCCGGCUAACUACGUGCCAGCAGCCGCGGUAAUACGUAGGGAGCGAGCGUUGUCCGGAAUUACUGGGUGUAAAGGGAGCGUAGGCGGGAUGGUAAGUCAGAUGUGAAAACUAUGGGCUCAACCCAUAGACUGCAUUUGAAACUGCUGUUCUUGAGUGAAGUAGAGGUAAGCGGAAUUCCUAGUGUAGCGGUGAAAUGCGUAGAUAUUAGGAGGAACAUCGGUGGCGAAGGCGGCUUACUGGGCUUUUACUGACGCUGAGGCUCGAAAGCGUGGGGAGCAAACAGGAUUAGAUACCCUGGUAGU
RNAcentral lists this ribosomal RNA (771 nucleotides) under uncultured bacterium. RNAcentral's name for it is "bacterial SSU rRNA". It matches the Rfam family "Bacterial small subunit ribosomal RNA", at positions 8 to 794 of the family's 1533-position model. The record is from RNAcentral.